AUUGAACGCUGGCGGCGUGCCUAACACAUGCAAGUCGAGCGGUAACAGGUGUAGCAAUACAUGCUGACGAGCGGCGAACGGGUGAGUAAUGCAUUGGAAUCUUCCCAGUAGUGGGGAAUAACCAGUCGAAAGAUUGGCUAAUACCGCAUACGUCGGAAACGGGAAAGCGGGGGAUCGUAAGACCUCGCGCUAUUGGAUGAGCCAAUGUCGGAUUAGCUAGUUGGUGAGGUAACGGCUCACCAAGGCGACAAUCCGUAGCUGGUCUGAGAGGACGACCAGCCACACCGGAACUGAGACACGGUCCGGACUCCUACGGGAGGCAGCAGUGGGGAAUAUUGGACAAUGGGGGAAACCCUGAUCCAGCGACGCCGCGUGUGUGAAGAAGGCCUGCGGGUUGUAAAGCACUUUUAGUGGGGACAAAAAGUCACGGGCUAAUACCUUGUGAUCUUGAUUUAACUCACAGAAAAAGCACCGGCUAACUCUGUGCCAGCAGCCGCGGUAAUACAGAGGGUGCGAGCGUUAAUCGGAAUUACUGGGCGUAAAGCGCGCGUAGACGGUUUGGUAAGUCAGAUGUGAAAUCCCCGGGCUCAACCUGGGAACUGCAUUUGAUACUGCC
This 616-nucleotide ribosomal RNA is filed under the name uncultured bacterium. Its description in RNAcentral is "bacterial SSU rRNA". It matches the Rfam family "Bacterial small subunit ribosomal RNA", at positions 28 to 637 of the family's 1533-position model. The record is from RNAcentral.